AUUUAUUGUUUUCCAUUAAGUUUUGGGGUUAUCUGUCAUACAGCAACACAUAACUGAUACCUUAUGACUUGCUUUGGCCUGUGACGAUGGACAGAAGUAUUAUUUCCAGGGAGAAGCCUUAAGGACAAGGUAUAAUCCUCUGUGUUCUUGUUCUAGUCAGUUUGCAGCUGGUGGCUGUGUCAUUAGCCUGACCCUGGAGUGAGGACUGUGUCUGGGUCAGGGGCCCAGCAAGGCAAAGAUGACAUGGCAGAAGAGACGUUGAGGAAUGUUUAAAGACAGAACCAUCCACAAGCCUGACAUCCUGCUCACACUUAGCAGAAAGCAACAGGGGAUGGUAAAACAUCUCAGGCCAGUGUUAACACCCCAAAUCUGAAGUGACGGGAGAGAGAGUAGUGGCCAGAAUCAGGUGAGAGGUGUAGCUGUAGGAGAGGGCUACUUAACAGGACUGUAACCUUGGUAAAGAAAUGCAGCUGCUGUCAGCUAAGAACCCUGUAGGGAGGGCCCUGGAGGCAGAACGCACCGCCUCCCUUACCUCCUGCUGGUGCCUCCCACUGCCCAACCUGUGUAGUCUUAGGUCUUGGUGUUGCCACUAUUUAUAUGACUCUUUAAAAAUGGUACCAAACAACGGUUCAGUCUUUUAGCUUUUUAGGGAUGCAAUUUGUAGCUUAUUCAUUUUGAUGGUUCAUUGAAAGGAAAUUUUUCUUAGAAUAGUUGCACCACUGAGGCUAUUCUGAAGUUCUUCCAUGGAAGGAGUGGACAGUAUCUGCUUUAGAUACUUUUUCACAAAGAAUUAUUUUCUUCCUUGUGAGAUGGAAUGUCAAGAUGCCUAUUGGCCUCCUCUUCGCCUGCACUUUAAAAGUCUUGCUCAUGGAGAUAGUGGCCUCCAAUUUCAGAACAGUACAUCUUUUCCCAAAAGGCCUUUCAUCCUUCCAUAAAUACAUAUGAUGGCCUGGCCCAGUCCUAAAUCCAGUUAGAGGAUUUGCACAGCAACCUCCCUCCCUCCAGAGCUGUGUUAGCUAAUUCUAGGCUUUGAAGAGUCAGGAGUCUUUGCCAGAGAAAAGGCCAACUGAACGGGACUGAGUUUAUAGGAUAAAUAAGUCAACUGCAAAGUUCUUGGGAUUUGCUUGCUCUCACAGAGAACCUAUGCCAGGUUGGAGUUCUCAAACCUCUCAUUAGAGCCUUGUUAUUCUAGUGAGGUCAGCCCUACCAAGUGUCCACCAUCGAGGCAUCCCUUCCUUGGAACUUCAGAUACCUUAAAACCAAAUUUCUGAGAUCUUAUAAUACGUCAACUCUGAUGCCAGAAAAUGCCUGCUCCUUCUGCCACCUUCAGAUGGACUCUGAGCUGUUUCUUUCCUAUACGUCAAGUCUUAUUUGGUGUGGUAAACACCCACUCAGGUAGAGAGCAGGGCACAAAUUAUACUGAAAACAUUUCUUCAAUCAGGUUUUAAAGGAUGUGAUCAAUUUACAACUAAAAUUCAGAUCUAAGACCAAAAAACUGCUAAUACGGACUAAAAGACAAGUCAAGCCCUAGAAAGGAACAGCUCCUGGAUAUUAUUUUUUAAAAAGGAAAAUCUAUGUACAUUCACAUUGUUUUGCUAUUAUAAACAAUGCUGCAAUGAA
Neofelis nebulosa (Clouded leopard) is the source of this 1620-nucleotide long non-coding RNA. RefSeq lists it as uncharacterized. The record is from RefSeq and is a predicted model, not a curated record. Lineage: Eukaryota; Metazoa; Chordata; Mammalia; Carnivora; Felidae. The transcript is spliced from 2 exons.